RNAcentral lists this ribosomal RNA (449 nucleotides) under uncultured bacterium. RNAcentral's name for it is "partial 16S ribosomal RNA". It matches the Rfam family "Bacterial small subunit ribosomal RNA", at positions 28 to 523 of the family's 1533-position model. The record is from RNAcentral.
GACGAACGCUGGCGGCAUGCCUAACACAUGCAAGUCGAACGAGAUCUUCGGGUCUAGUGGCGCACGGGUGCGUAUCGCGUGGGAAUCUGCCCUUUGGUUCGGAAUAACAGUUGGAAACGACUGCUAAUACCGGAUGAUGACGAAAGUCCAAAGAUUUAUCGCCAGAGGAUGAGCCCGCGUAGGAAUAGCUAGUUGGUGUGGUAAAGGCGCACCAAGGCGACGAUCCUUAGCUGGUCUGAGAGGAUGAUCAGCCACACUGGGACUGAGACACGGCCCAGACUCCUACGGGAGGCAGCAGUGGGGAAUAUUGGACAAUGGGCGAAAGCCUGAUCCAGCAAUGCCGCGUGAGUGAUGAAGGCCUUAGGGUUGUAAAGCUCUUUUACCCGGGAUGAUAAUGACAGUACCGGGAGAAUAAGCUCCGGCUAACUCCGUGCCAGCCGCCGCCGUAA